RNAcentral lists this transfer RNA (72 nucleotides) under Dipodomys ordii (Ord's kangaroo rat). It matches the Rfam family "tRNA". Rfam says of the family: Transfer RNA (tRNA) molecules are approximately 80 nucleotides in length. Their secondary structure includes four short double-helical elements and three loops (D, anti-codon, and T loops). The record is from Rfam by way of RNAcentral. Lineage: Eukaryota; Metazoa; Chordata; Mammalia; Rodentia; Heteromyidae.
AGAGGUGUGGCUCAGUGUUAGAGUGCCUGCCUAGCAAGCACGUGGCCCUGAGUUCAAAUCCCAGGACCUCCA